This 564-nucleotide ribosomal RNA is filed under the name uncultured bacterium. RNAcentral describes it as "partial 16S ribosomal RNA". It matches the Rfam family "Bacterial small subunit ribosomal RNA", at positions 355 to 914 of the family's 1533-position model. The record is from RNAcentral.
UAAGGAAUAUUGGUCAAUGGGCGGAAGCCUGAACCAGCCAUGCCGCGUGCAGGAUGACUGCCCUACGGGUUGUAAACUGCUUUUGUCCAGGAAUAAACCUAGAUACGUGUAUCUAGCUGAAUGUACUGGAAGAAUAAGGAUCGGCUAACUCCGUGCCAGCAGCCGCGGUAAUACGGAGGAUCCGAGCGUUAUCCGGAUUUAUUGGGUUUAAAUGGGUUGGCGUAGGGCGGCCCUAUUAAGUCAGGGGUGAAAUACGGUGGCUCAACCACCGCAGUGCCUUUGAUACUGAUGGGCUUGAAUCCAUUUGAAGUGGGCGGAAUAAGACAAGUAGCGGUGAAAUGCAUAGAUAUGUCUUAGAACUCCGAUUGCGAAGGCAGCUCACUAAGCUGGUAUUGACGCUGAUGCACGAAAGCGUGGGGAUCGAACAGGAUUAGAUACCCUGGUAGUCCACGCCCUAAACGAUGAUAACUCGAUGUUGGCGAUAGACAGCCAGCGUCCAAGCGAAAGCGUUAAGUUAUCCACCUGGGGAGUACGCCCGCAAGGGUGAAACUCAAAUGAAUUGAC